AUACGUAGGGUGCAAGCGUUGUCCGGAAUCACUGGGCGUAAAGGGUUCGUAGGCGGCUUAUCAAGUCAGGUGUGAAAGGCAUUGGCUCAACCAAUGUAAGCACUUGAAACUGGUAGGCUUGAGUACUGGAGAGGAGAGUGGAAUUCCUAGUGUAGCGGUGAAAUGCGUAGAUAUUAGGAGGAACACCAGUGGCGAAGGCGACUCUCUGGACAGUUACUGACGCUGAGGAACGAAAGCGUGGGGAGCAAACAGGAUUAGAUACCCUGGUAGUCCACGCUGUAAACGAUGAGUGCUAGGUGUUGGGGGCGACAGUCCUCAGUGCCGCAGCUAACGCAUUAAGCACUCCGCCUGGGGAGUACGGUCGCAAGACUGAA
Molecule: ribosomal RNA, 374 nt
Filed under: uncultured bacterium
Lineage: Bacteria
Description: bacterial SSU rRNA
Rfam family: Bacterial small subunit ribosomal RNA
Source: RNAcentral